This 784-nucleotide unclassified non-coding RNA is filed under the name Lingula anatina. RNAcentral's name for it is "uncharacterized LOC106179973, transcript variant X1". The record is from RNAcentral. Lineage: Eukaryota; Metazoa; Brachiopoda; Lingulata; Lingulida; Lingulidae.
GCACGGGUCCUCUUAUUGGCGAGAUCAAACCGUUAAAUAUGACGACUGACCUAGAUACACGUUGGGAUAAACACAGCCAUAUAAGUGCAUUAAAUGCGUAAAAUCAACAAUAGACUUUGAAUAAACAGCCUUACAAUUGGAACCAGGAUUUAUUCUGAUUGACGAAUACGCUACGAUAAUGGUUCAAUCCACACCGUUUAGUUUGUCAGGUAGAGGGGUCGAAGUGGGUGACUUAGGUUCAUUGGUAUCAUAUGGAAUCUCAUGAAUUUAGCCAGAAGUCAGAUUAUGUGUGGUAGCACUUUCAAACCAGAAGCUUUUAUUAUGGACCGAGUUGAAUGGCAGUGAACAUUUGUACAAAGCAGGUGGAUUGCUAGAAGUUCUUAGGGAAGAUAGACUGCGGUCAUUAGGAGAAGAGGGUCUCACCGACGACGAGAGAGCGGAGAAAAUAGAAGCGAAGGAAUUCAGUAGGCUACCACCCAAAUUACAGAAAAAUGCGUUAUCACUGGUCAACUUACAGAAUGGUUGCAGUAAAGAAGACAUGGCAGCACGGACAGGUAUAAUAAGACUCUACGAAUACAUCUUCUUAAUGUAUAGACCCGUCUUAGAAAUAUGAAAUAACCUAAAAAAUUAAGGAUGUAUUUAUUUUUUCUGUUUUUGUGGUGAUUUUCCUAACCAUACUUACACCAUAUUUACGCUAUGACUAUUAAACGUGUUUCAACUUACGACAGUGGGAAAAUUGUCUUGAGUAGCACAGAAAGCAAGGUUUAUUGUGCAUUAAUAUUGC